Molecule: long non-coding RNA, 3713 nt
Filed under: Homo sapiens (human)
Lineage: Eukaryota; Metazoa; Chordata; Mammalia; Primates; Hominidae
Description: HSALNT0166119
Source: RNAcentral
UGCUGUGUCUGCACUCCCUAUUCACCCUCCUAUGCCAAGUUCUGUCCAGGAAACUUUGUGUUUGGUCAAAAUGGUUACAGAGUUCAGCGGGAAGUUUCCUUCUCCCUGUGGGCUUUUCCCAGUUCCUCUGGCAGCCCUCCCCAAGGACUCCUGUGAGACCAAUCAGAAAUGGCUUCCCUGGGGACCAAGCGUGCCCACAGGGCUCUUCCUGCUGCCUCUUCUACACCUGUAUUUCACUUGGCUCUCUAAAUUUGUCUCAGCUCCAGUUGAGCUCAGAAAGAAGCAGAUCCUGGCAAAGUCAGUUUUAAUGAAGAGAAGAUGGAGGAAAAAGCAGUGCCUGAGCGGGCACCGAAGGCACUCGAGGGCCCUGUGCUCUUUGGGAGAGAUGGUCAAUGAGAUGUAAGUGAAAUCACUAAGGAGGACUUCCCUUCCUGAAUAAAAUGACAAUACCUCAGUACAAGAAAUGUCUUUUUCCCUUGUCCCUCCACUCCCGACCUCUUGCUACUAUCUUCCCGGAGACAUGAAACUUAGAAGUGGAGCAGCCACCACUGUCCAUGGGAUGACAAGUGUGAGGACAAAAGCCAGUGUAACAAAGAAGGGCAGAAUGGACAGGUGAGAGCAGCCUGGGUCCCUCUUUUAUGGCAACUCUGAGCAGUUGCUAUGCUGACGGGGGACUGCCUAUGUUUGCACUUGCUAUGAGGGGAAAAGCAACUGUUGAUCAGGCUUCCUAUUGUUCUCAGAUAAAUUUUAUUCCUAACUGAUCCAUCACUGAGAAGUUACUAUAUUGGCAUAUAGACCAUAAAUAUAUUUAUAAUGUUGACUUUAGACAUUAUCCUUUCUAAAGAAGCCCUGUGGGCUUUAGACAAAGCUAAGACUUUAGAAGUUUAAGCUUCUUUGUUGUUAUUUCUAAAAAGCAUGUAUUAAGUGCCUAAAUUGUCAAUACCAGGCAAUCUGCCAAGUGUUCAUGCCCUAACAACAUUUCCUGAGCCAAAGGCACAGUUUGACAUAACACCUGAUUAUGGGGUGAAUAUUUUCAACAGAAUUGUGCUAGAAAAUCCAGGCUGUCUGUUGUUCUACUUGACGCAGGCUGUGAUUUCUUCAGGGUAGGCACCAGGUCAGAGCAAAUACAUCACUAGAAACAAUAAAUGAAAUAGCAACAGACAACAAGGUGUUUGCAUUAUGACAGGCCAAAUUUGAUCUAAAGGGUAAACAACAAACAAAGGUAUCUAAUUGGAAAAAGAACUGAGAAAGGGUAAGAGUUUCACAUUUUGAAAAGCAGGUUGGUAAUUUGUUAUUUGAUGGUGAGGAUAUUCAGGAAUGUUGCCAUUCUGUGGUUCACAGCAGGAGAAUUUCAUGGAAGAGGAUUUCCAUGAGCUCACAGGCUGUUUAAAGAACUGGAGAGAACUGAAUUGGCAAAUGGGGGAAAAUAUUAGGUUGGUGCAAAAGUAAUUGCAGUUUUUGCCUUUACUUGCAAUAUGUUAUAGGCACGUGAUUCUGCCUUGGAAGGUCAUAAAGACAAAAGGUUGGCCUUCCCUGGAGCAAAACAUAGAAAUAUGUCCCCUGGGGCCGUGUCAUAUGCCAGUCCUGUAAGCAGCAUGGGGGACAGUGAUGGUCUACUUAGGUAAGGCAAAAGUGAUUGACUGAGAAGUAGAAGGAAGUAAAUCUCAUUAAAUGUUGAAUUUCACUGGGGUCUGUUUCUGACACACUUCUUACUUUUAUGCAUUUAACUAUGUGCUGGAUAACUUUCAGAUUUUUAUUUCUAAACUGUCUUAGUCUGUUUAUGUUGCUGUAGAGGAAUAUCUGAGACUGGGUCAUUUAUAAAGGAAAGAGCUUUACUUGGCUUAUGGUUCUUCAGGCUGUACAAGAAGCAUAGUACCUGCAUCUACUUCUGGUAAGGGCUUCAGGCUGCUUCCAACCAAGGCAGAAGGUGAAGGGGAGCUUCUGUGUGCAGAGAUAACAUGGUGAAAAAGGAAGCGAGAGAGAGAGUGGGGAGGUGCCAGACUCUUUUUAACAACCAGCUCUGGCAGGAACUAAUAGAGCUAGCACUAGAACUCACUCAUUACUGUGAGGACAGGCUGCAAGACAUUAUUGAGGGAUCUGCCCAUGACCCAAACACCUCCCAUUAAUGGCCUCUCCUCCAACAUUGGGGAUCAAAUUUCAACAUGAAGUUUGGAGAAGUCAAAUAUCCAAACCAUAGCACAAACCUAAUCUUCCAAAUUUUCCAGCGUUCUCUCCCUGGAUUUUUGCAGUUACUUCUAAUUCACCGUAUCUGCAAAUAAACUCAUUAAAGUGUCUUUUCUUCCUGUACAUUAUGUUUCUCAUUCUGUAUUUUUGACAACUAUUUAUUGAGUGCCUACACUGUGCCACUCAGUGUGCUAGGGCUGGGGAUACAAGGGUGAGCAAGACCAGACCACACCCUCUUUCCUUUACUCCAACCUCCAUCCUUUUCCAUACUGCUUCCAGGCAGCUUUAUCCAAAACUCAUGUCUCAAUUUUUUUUUUUUGAAAUGGAGUCUCACUCUUCAACUCUUCGUCACCUAGGCUGGAGUGCAGUGGUGCGAUCUCGGCUUACUGCAACUUCUGCCUACCGAGUUCAAGCGAUCGUCCCACCUCAGCCUCCCCAGUAGCUGGGAUUAUAAGCGUGUGCCACCAUGUCCAGCUAAUUUCUGUAUUCUUAGUAGAGACAGGGUUGGCCAGGCUGGCCUUGAACUCCUGACCUCAAGUCAUCCACCUACCUCGGCCUCCCAAAAUGCUGGGAUUACAGGCAUGAGCCACCGCUUCUGGCCAUGUCUCAAAUUUUUAUAUCCAAACUAUCUUAGUGCAUUUGCAUUGCCAUAAGGGAAUAUCUGAGACUGGGUAAUUUAAUAAAGAAAAGAACCAUUUCACUUUCCUGGCUAAAGCUUUUCUAGUGAUUUAGUGUUUUAUGUUGUAAAGUUACUCUAGAUUUUUAGCUUAGUUGUCGUUUUCUUCUUCCUCUUGAACUUUACAUUUGAGCAACAUCAACCUAUUCAUAGUUUCUUGAGCACGCUAUGGCAUUUCAUGAUUCUGAGCCUUUGAUCAUUCUGUACGGUCCCUGUAGAUCCACUUUCUUCUUUCAUCUUUGUUUAACUCCCACUUUACUUCUGUCUCACAUGCCUUUUCUGUGCUCAUAGUGGUUCUUAUUUACCCCAUUAUAGCACUCAGCACAUGUGGAGGAAAAGUUAAAUAUUAAAUUUGAACUCAAUUGAACGUGGACACAAACAGUAGUCACCAAGUCCUGGAACAGGUUGUGUGAGCCCCUUGAGGCAUUCAUUCAGCACUGUUUCAGAGAAAUCUCUAUUUCAAUCUAUUCCUAUAUGUUAGUUAUCGAAAAACAACAAACAAUCGCAAAAACAAGUUGACCUUUUUGUGCUCCUUGAGCCAAGUCGUGAAGGGCCCUCAUGACUGGGCCUCAUGCCAAACAACUCAUUACAAAAAGAGCUAGGGUCCCAGACCAUGCUGAAUCUUCAUGAGACCUCUCCUCGUCUGUGCAUGGAUGGGUGGCUGACUCUGGAGCCCAGGCUGUUGCUUCCCAGUCUGGUGAUGAUUCCUCCAUAGUCUGGUGAAUGUGUAUCUAUAUGUUUUCCCUUCUCCCUUUCCCAUUGCAAUUAGCUUAUUAUAUCAAUUUGCUUAUUAUAUCAUUUGCUUAUUGUAUCUGCAUUGCCAUUUAUGUGGGAUAAAGGUUGUUUACCCUCA